AUUGAACGCUGGCGGCAGGCUUAACACAUGCAAGUCGAGCGGAGCGAGGGUGCUUGCACCUUAGCUUAGCGGCGGACGGGUGAGUAAUGCUUAGGAAUCUGCCUAUUAGUGGGGGACAACAUUCCGAAAGGAAUGCUAAUACCGCAUACGCCCUACGGGGGAAAGCAGGGGAUCUUCGGACCUUGCGCUAAUAGAUGAGCCUAAGUCGGAUUAGCUAGUUGGUGGGGUAAAGGCCUACCAAGGCGACGAUCUGUAGCGGGUCUGAGAGGAUGAUCCGCCACACGGGGACUGAGACACGGCCCAGACUCCUACGGGAGGCAGUAGUGGGGAAUAUUGGACAAUGGGCGGAAGCCUGAUCCAGCCAUGCCGCGUGUGUGAAGAAGGCCUUUUGGUUGUAAAGCACUUUAAGCGAGGAGGAGGCUACUUAGAUUAAUACUCUGGGAUAGUGGACGUUACUCGCAGAAUAAGCACCGGCUAACUCUGUGCCAGCAGCCGCCGCCGUAA
This 504-nucleotide ribosomal RNA is filed under the name uncultured bacterium. Its description in RNAcentral is "partial 16S ribosomal RNA". It matches the Rfam family "Bacterial small subunit ribosomal RNA", at positions 30 to 523 of the family's 1533-position model. The record is from RNAcentral.